UGGGGAAUAUUGCACAAUGGGCGCAAGCCUGAUGCAGCAACGCCGCGUGAGGGACGACGGCCUUCGGGUUGUAAACCUCUUUUAGUAGGGAAGAAGCGAAAGUGACGGUACCUGCAGAAAAAGCACCGGCUAACUACGUGCCAGCAGCCGCGGUAAUACGUAGGGUGCGAGCGUUGUCCGGAAUUAUCGGGCGUAAAGAGCUCGUAGGCGGUCUGUCGCGUCUGCUGUGAAAACCCGAGGCUCAACCUCGGGCCUGCAGUGGGUACGGGCAGACUAGAGUGCGGUAGGGGAGAAUGGAAUUCCUGGUGUAGCGGUGGAAUGCGCAGAUAUCAGGAGGAACACCGAUGGCGAAGGCAGUUCUCUGGGCCGUAACUGACGCUGAGGAGCGAAAGCGUGGGGAGCGAACAGGAUUAGAUACCCUGGUAGUCCACGCCGUAAACGUUGGGCGCUAGAUGUGGGGACCAUUCCACGGUUUCCGUGUCGCAGCUAA
Molecule: ribosomal RNA, 490 nt
Filed under: uncultured bacterium
Lineage: Bacteria
Description: partial 16S ribosomal RNA
Rfam family: Bacterial small subunit ribosomal RNA
Source: RNAcentral